This 402-nucleotide long non-coding RNA is filed under the name Erythranthe guttata (spotted monkey flower). RNAcentral describes it as "long non-coding RNA (EGUT_LNC000820)". Lineage: Eukaryota; Viridiplantae; Streptophyta; Magnoliopsida; Lamiales; Phrymaceae. The record is from RNAcentral.
CACAAAUCUAUCGUUGCCAAUACAUUUAUUAAUAACAACGAAUUUAUGUCGUUGCAACACAUAAAUCGUUGCCAAUACAUUAAUCAUUAAGAACAAAAUAAAAUUGUAUUUCGUUGCAACAUAUUUAUUGUUGCCAAUACAUGACGUAUUUUCGACCGCACCCGCCAUCCCGACCUUUGGACUACCGACGCGCAUCUGCCGACCAGACCUUUGGACCGCCAACCGGCAUUUGCGGACCCAACCUUUAGACCGCCGAACCGCUUCAGAGUCGGAAUUGUUGGGUUAAACUCAUGAUUUAGCCCAAUAGGCUAACCCGCUUGAUAAAUGUCAAAUAUACGGAGACAUGACAAUGGUAAGAGUCGAACUCUGGUUGAUUUGAAGUUAGACACCCUUCAAACCGCU